ACCCGCACAAGCGGUGGAUGAUUGUGGAUUUAAUUCGAUGCAACGCGAAGAACCUUUACCUACCCUUUGACAUGUCCGGAACUUGCCAGAGAUGGCUUUGGUGCCCGAAAGGGAAUCGGAACACAGGUGCUGCAUGGCUGUCGUCAGCUCGUGUCGUGAGAUGUUGGGUUAAGUCCCGCAACGAGCGCAACCCUUAUCAUUAGUUGCUACGCAAGGGCACUCUAAUGAGACUGCCGGUGACAAACCGGAGGAAGGUGGGGAUGACGUCAAGUCCUCAUGGCCCUUAUGGGUAGGGCUUCACACGUCAUACAAUGGUCGGUACAGAGGGUUGCCAAGCCGCGAGGCGGAGCCAAUCCCACAAAGCCGAUCGUAGUCCGGAUUGUUCUCUGCAACUCGAGAGCAUGAAGUCGGAAUCGCUAGUAAUCGCAGGUCAGCAUACUGCGGUGAAUACGUUCCCGGGUCUU
RNAcentral lists this ribosomal RNA (464 nucleotides) under uncultured Thiobacillus sp. RNAcentral describes it as "bacterial SSU rRNA". It matches the Rfam family "Bacterial small subunit ribosomal RNA", at positions 919 to 1382 of the family's 1533-position model. The record is from RNAcentral. Lineage: Bacteria; Pseudomonadati; Pseudomonadota; Betaproteobacteria; Nitrosomonadales; Thiobacillaceae.